GUGCCCUUAGCUCAGCUUGGCCAGAGCACUCGUCUCCAAAACGAGGUGUCGGCGGUUCGAAUCCGUCAGGGUAUGCCA
Molecule: transfer RNA, 78 nt
Filed under: marine sediment metagenome
Description: tRNA-Trp
Rfam family: tRNA
About the family: Transfer RNA (tRNA) molecules are approximately 80 nucleotides in length.
Source: RNAcentral